CAAUAGCGUAUAUUAAAGUUGUUGCGGUUAAAAAGCUCGUAGUUGGAUUUCUGUUGAGGACGGCCGGUCCGCACUAUGUGCGUGUAUCUGGUUCGGCCUCGGCAUCCUCUCGAAAGCCGUAUCUGCGCUUGACUGCGUGGUUCGGACUUCGGGACUUUUACUUUGAGGAAAUUAGAGUGUUCACGGCAGGCAAGCGCCUUGAAUAUAUUAGCAUGGAAUAAUAAUCUAGGAUCUUGGUCCUAUUUUGUUGGUUUCUAGGGCUAAGAUAAUGAUUAAUAGGGACAAUUGGGGGCAUUCGUAUUAACGCGUCAGAGGUGGAAUUCUUGGAUUUCGUCACGACGAACUACUGCGAAAGCAUUUGCCAAGGAUGUUUUCAUUGA
RNAcentral lists this ribosomal RNA (380 nucleotides) under uncultured eukaryote. Its description in RNAcentral is "partial 18S ribosomal RNA". It matches the Rfam family "Eukaryotic small subunit ribosomal RNA", at positions 592 to 976 of the family's 1831-position model. The record is from RNAcentral.